Molecule: ribosomal RNA, 388 nt
Filed under: uncultured marine eukaryote
Lineage: Eukaryota
Description: SSU rRNA
Rfam family: Eukaryotic small subunit ribosomal RNA
Source: RNAcentral
AGUGUUGCGGUUAAAAAGCUCGUAGUUGGAUUUCUGUUGAGGAUGACCGGUCCGCUCUUUGAGCGCGUAUCUGGUUCAGCCUUGGCAUCCUCUUGAGGAACGCUACUGUGCUUGAUUGCAUGGGGCGGUAUUCAAGACUUUUACUUUGAGGAAAUUAGAGUGUUCACUGCAAGCGUUAGCAAUUGAAUACAUUAGCAUGGAAUAAUAAUAUAGGACCUUGGUACUAUUUUGUUGGUUUCUAGAACUAAGGUAAUGAUUAAUAGGGACAAUUGGGGGCAUUCGUAUUAACGCGUCAGAGGUGGAAUUCUUAGAUUGCGUUACGACGAACUACUGCGAAAGCAUUUGCCAAGGAUGUUUUCAUUGAUCAGAACGAAAGUAUGGGGAUCGA